Long non-coding RNA from Alexandromys fortis (reed vole), 1737 nucleotides. RefSeq lists it as uncharacterized. Lineage: Eukaryota; Metazoa; Chordata; Mammalia; Rodentia; Cricetidae. The transcript is spliced from 3 exons. The record is from RefSeq and is a predicted model, not a curated record.
CCCUCCUUUCUGUCCCCCUGGAGCUAGUGUUGUCCCUCCCCGUUUUCUGUCCCUCUGGAGCUAGUGCUAUCUGACCCUGCUUUUUGUCCUCAGCAUAUUACCUCAGUUGGGAACUUACCAACAUAAGAAGAGAAACCAAUCAUUUGUGACUUUUUAAGCCAGUCUUGUGACUCCUGGUUCCUUCUUGCCAGCACUGACCUUCUUUGCUUCCUCUGCAGAAACUGGCACAGGCCCAGCAUUCUAACUUGGGAGUGCCAGUUUGGUGGACUUCUGAUGCUAAAGUUCUUAGGACACUUUCUUCUUCCUCCUGGAUUUAAGGCAGCAGGCUUGGGUUGUGGGGGCCUGUGUGUUCCAUGAAAGAUCAACCUUGUGUUUGUUGAUGUUUCAAGUCAAUAUCCCGGCAUUCAAUUCCUGAACUGAACACACUGUCGGAAGAACAAGUCAGGCACUACCUUCUGAAUUUCGGAGGCACCCCCAAGCAUCUCAUUGAUGACCAGGACGUUCUGAGUCAGUGCAUUCCCAUUCUGAAGGCAGAUGCUGCCAUUGUGAAAAACUUCCUCUUUGACACGCCCUCGGAGGCUCUUCUUUCUCAGGACAUAACAUGCUUUUUCGGAUCUGAAGAUACAGUAAAGGACAUAAAAGGUUGGGAAGACAUAACCAGCGGGAAGGUUGACAGCUACAUGCUGCCAGGUGACCACUUUUAUCUGUUGGAACCUAACAACGAGAACUUCAUCAAGAACUAUAUAACCAAGUGUUUGGAAGUGUCGUUACUUGCUUGCUUUUAGAUGGGCCUUCAAUAUGCAAACCAAUCACAAGCUGUCCCUCUAGCUCCUGAGAUGGAGCACUUUAGUGUCCAGAGAUUGGAAGGUGCACAUUGAUGGAUUUCUGUUAAGGGAGCUGCAGGCUCCCAGCCAAUGGCUAUCUUAUGCCCCAAAAUAACAGCAAACAAACUGUAUUCAUAUAAACACUGCUUGGCCCAUUUCUAUUAAUGUGUGUAGCACCACGAGGUGCGCUUACAAGGAAGAUUCUAGCCUAAGUCCACCCUGGGUCGGAACUUCAUCAUGUCUGCCUCAGAGAGCAGAGCUAUGGCAUCUGUCUGAGGCGUCUUACCUCACUUCCUCUUUCUCCCAGCAUUCUGUCUGUUUACUCCACCUACCUAAAGGCUAGCCUAUCAAAUGGGCCAAGGCAGUUUCUUUAUUAGCCAAUGACCUUCCUCCAUCAGAUUUCUUCAUGGAGCAUCUCUCUAUUUGGGGAAAUGGCUAAUGCUAAGGGUCAGGGAAGCGAGGAGUUUCUGUAGCUGACAGCUGCAGCAAGAAGGGGCUACUUUUCUUUGGGGGACGUGGCCACUAGUUGGUUACUCAUGCUCCGUGUGCACCCACUGGUCGGUGACUCAUGCUCCGUGUGCACCCUGGUGGCACAGCAGACAGCUCGAAUUGGACUCAGUGCACUGUUUAAAAAGAAGAUGAGAAGAGCGGCACAGAAUUGGGAGGGGCACACAUUGGAGGACGUCCAUGGGGGGUGGGUUGGAAAGGUCAGUGAUGGGUGGAUAUGAUCAAAACACAUGUAUGCAUUUAGGAAAAUUUCAAAGGAUAAGUAAAAAUAUUGUUAGAGGAAGAAAACUUCUGCUAGUGUCCUUUAUCUUUUCAUUAAAAUCUAAUUUGAUUGACUUUUAUAUAAAGUUUUAUCAACAAAGUGUCUUCAGGUGGGGUUACACCUGAAGCUUCUUGCAUUAUUCUA